UUAACUAAGCACAACAACAAAUUAAAAAACACAACAUUUCAAAAAACACAACAUUAAUCUACCGAAAAAGGUAGGUACCAGUGGAAGACAUGAGACAUCACUGAUUGGUCGACCGCGCUGUUGGACAGACCAAAGCAAGUUUUGGCACAGUUCUUGUUCCGCCCAUAUCGAGGAUGCAUUGAUGCAUCCUUCUGCGGACUUGGGUAAGCUAGGUUUCCCACAAUACACUCACCAGCACCAGUCAAUGGAGAAGAUCCUUCCCUGUUUACCACAGACUGGCCGAAAACUUUCACCCUUCCAGAUGCUCCUCCUGACUCUAAUGCAUCUGAGGCUGAAUCUUCCCAUCCAGCGUAUGGCACACCUGUUCUGCAUCGACCGAUCAACUGUGUCCACCACGUUCACAAAUACCAUAGAUGUCAUGUUUACACACCUUGCUGCGGGGUAACAUACCACUGAGCAUGGUGCUGCCAUGUGAAGAGGUGGUUUUACUGGACAAAAUUGUGAAGGUGUGCUGUGAUCUGACCUAUAUGUGUCCCGGUAUUGUUUUGAAAGUGUAAACCCUAACAGCUUUGUGAAACUUGUGUUAAGCAGAAAGCAGUGUACCUAGGUUGCCUUAUGUGAAUAAAUGAUGGACAACUUAAA
Long non-coding RNA from Girardinichthys multiradiatus, 642 nucleotides. RefSeq lists it as uncharacterized. The record is from RefSeq and is a predicted model, not a curated record. The transcript has 2 exons. NCBI's taxonomy places the organism in Eukaryota, Metazoa, Chordata, Actinopteri, Cyprinodontiformes, Goodeidae.